CCGAGUUAUUCUACUCCCAAACCCCUGUGAACUUAUACCUUUACUGUUGCUUCGGCGGGUUAACGCCCCGGAAGGCCCGCGAGGGCCGCCGGAACCAGGCGCCCGCCGGGGGACCCAAACUCUUUCUGUAGUCCCCUCGCGGACGUUAUUUCUUACAGCUCUGAGCAAAAAUUCAAAAUGAAUCA
RNAcentral lists this unclassified non-coding RNA (185 nucleotides) under uncultured Pochonia. RNAcentral's name for it is "sequence contains ITS1". Lineage: Eukaryota; Fungi; Ascomycota; Sordariomycetes; Hypocreales; Clavicipitaceae. The record is from RNAcentral.